Non-coding RNA from Conoideocrella luteorostrata, 73 nucleotides. The record is from the annotation of a GenBank genome assembly. Lineage: Eukaryota; Fungi; Ascomycota; Sordariomycetes; Hypocreales; Clavicipitaceae.
GUUCGAGUGACGCAGUGGCUAGCGUGUGAGAUUGCAAAUCUCGAAGUCCAUGGUUCGAAUCCGUGCUCGGACU